UUGAGUUGGCAUAUUGUUUCAUCCGGUCAUAGUUAAGUCGGUAUAUUAUUCUAUCCGAUUAGUCGAGUCGGCAUGUUGUUCUAUCCGAACAGAAUCGAGUCGGCAUGUUGUUUCGCCUGACUAGAGUCGAGUCGGUAAAUAAGUAGCUUGUAGAUAAUCAAAUAUUCAACAAAAAUAUCGAAAGCCGAACAUGUCAUUUCAAAUAUUUAUUGAAGACAUAUCUAUUGAUAAUACAUACGUAGAUUGUCAGCAUUCUAUGUUUGAAGG
This 267-nucleotide long non-coding RNA is filed under the name Elaeis guineensis (African oil palm). RNAcentral's name for it is "long non-coding RNA (EGUI_LNC019117)". The record is from RNAcentral. Lineage: Eukaryota; Viridiplantae; Streptophyta; Magnoliopsida; Arecales; Arecaceae.